AGAAAUCGUCUAAACUCAGUGAAUCAUCAACGGCACCUUCAUGUUCACUAGACUCUCUAUUAGCAGAAAAUUCCCUAUUUGCAGCACUAGGCGUUUUGUUAUCGAAUUCAUCAAAGGGAGUGAAAUUAGGUAUAGAACCUGGGGUUUGUGUGCUAUUUCUAGUCUGAGUACUCCAAUCAGGGUUGGAACUCUUCACUCUUUUGCCACGGCGCUCGAUGAUCUUCAACUGGGCAUCUCGUAUUUGAAUAGGGUCGCCAGUUUUUACCGCUUCAAGCCAAUCAAGCCGGUCACGGAGUUUCGAGAUGUCCGGGAAGAAGUCGCGUUCGAUGAUUUUCUCGAUCGCUGCAACAUAGGUGUCCUCGUCCAGAACUAUAGGGCGCUUCUUAGGGUUUACAGGUGUUCUGAUUGAGGAUGAGUUAGAGACUUGGAUAGCAUUUUGGGGAUUUGGAGACGCAGAUGAAGAUGGGGAUGAGAGGUGGCGUGGUGAGUGACCUGGAGAACCAAGCAUUGUGAAUUAAGUUUCUCAAAGAGGAAAAAGGAAAAUUUUUGGUUUAGGGCUAGGUUUCCGGUGACUGCAGCGGCGGCGGCUGUUGAGAAUAAUCGAUGAAUGUGUCCUUACAAGCGUUGCCUUGC
This 633-nucleotide unclassified non-coding RNA is filed under the name Hevea brasiliensis (rubber tree). The record is from RNAcentral. Lineage: Eukaryota; Viridiplantae; Streptophyta; Magnoliopsida; Malpighiales; Euphorbiaceae.